This 388-nucleotide ribosomal RNA is filed under the name uncultured bacterium. Its description in RNAcentral is "bacterial SSU rRNA". It matches the Rfam family "Bacterial small subunit ribosomal RNA", at positions 28 to 419 of the family's 1533-position model. The record is from RNAcentral.
GACGAACGCUGGCGGCGUGCUUAACACAUGCAAGUCGAGCGGUAAGGCCCUUUCGGGGGUACACGAGCGGCGAACGGGUGAGUAACACGUGGGUGACCUGCCCUCAGCUCUGGGAUAAGCCUGGGAAACCGGGUCUAAUACCGGAUAUGACUCCAUGACGCAUGUUGUGGGGUGAAAGCCUUGUGCGGCUGAGGAUGGGCCCGCGGCCUAUCAGCUUGUUGGUGGGGUGAUGGCCUACCAAGGCGACGACGGUAGCCGGCCUGAGAGGGCGACCGGCCACACUGGGACUGAGACACGGCCCAGACUCCUACGGGAGGCAGCAGUGGGGAAUCUUGCGCAAUGGGCGAAAGCCUGACGCAGCGACGCCGCGUGAGGGAUGACGGCCUGG